CGAACGCUGGCGGCGUGCUUAACACAUGCAAGUCGAACGAAGAGCGAUGGAAGCUUGCUUCUAUCAAUCUUAGUGGCGAACGGGUGAGUAACGCGUAAUCAACCUGCCCUUCAGAGGGGGACAACAGUUGGAAAAGACUGCUAAUACCGCAUACGAUCUAAUCUCGGCAUCGAGGAUAGAUGAAAGGUGGCCUCUACAUGUAAGCUAUCACUGAAGGAGGGGAUUGCGUCUGAUUAGCUAGUUGGAGGGGUAACGGCCCACCAAGGCGAUGAUCAGUAGCCGGUCUGAGAGGAUGAACGGCCACAUUGGGACUGAGACACGGCCCAGACUCCUACGGGAGGCAGCAGUGGGGAAUCUUCCGCAAUGGACGAAAGUCUGACGGAGCAACGCCGCGUGAGUGAUGACGGCCUUCGGGUUGUAAAGCUCUGUUAAUCGGGACGAAAGGCCUUCUUGCGAACAGUUAGAAGGAUUGACGGUACCGGAAUAGAAAGCCACGGCUAACUACGUG
Molecule: ribosomal RNA, 508 nt
Filed under: uncultured bacterium
Lineage: Bacteria
Description: partial 16S ribosomal RNA
Rfam family: Bacterial small subunit ribosomal RNA
Source: RNAcentral